Long non-coding RNA from Mus musculus (house mouse), 6640 nucleotides. RefSeq annotates it as predicted gene, 39663. The record is from RefSeq and is a predicted model, not a curated record. Lineage: Eukaryota; Metazoa; Chordata; Mammalia; Rodentia; Muridae. The transcript is spliced from 3 exons.
UAGAGGAUGAACCAUCAUGGGAGACAUCAUUUGGACGGGUCAGUCCGUUAGUCAGCAUCCAUCACAUCUAGUCUCUUGGCCUCCUCCUCAGGCAUACGUUAAAAGGAAGAGAAAAAAUAUCUUGUCAUGAGGCUUGACCAAACUAAAACUGGUCUGUCUAUUCGGAGUUACUGUGAGAAAGAAGGUAAGUGCCAGGUUACCUUGAGAUCUUCAGUCAACAUGGAAGUCACCAGCAGUGCAGAGCAGUUGGAGUUCCAGGCCUGAAGAUCAGAGGCAAAGGCAUCCUGCAACUUUCAGGAAUUUGAAUUUCUAUGGGGAGAACAGACUUCAAACGGGCACUGGCUGCCAGAAGAGACAGCAAAGUAAGUUAAGUAAGUUAAAAAAGUGGGACUGCUGUUCAGGGGAAAAGGACAAAGGAAGGGUUUGCCCUAUGGGAGGUGUGAGAGGGGAAGGAGGAUCUCACUGAGAAGUACAGAGCUACCUGGGUGUAGGUUCGGUGUGUGAAAUACCUAUGUGUGCAAGUAUAUGCUAUGGUAUGUGUGCCUGAGCACACACUGCAUAUGUGUGUUCAUGUGAUGUGGCAUGUUUGCACAUACGUUUCUGGUGUAUGCAGGGGACAUGCAUGUAUGUGUGUUUGCAAUAUCUGCCAUGGCUGUGCAUAUGGUGUGUGUGUGUGUGUGCGUGUGUGUGUGUACACGUGCAAAUGUUCUGGCAUUUUUACAGUGUGGAUAACUUGGAGAAACAUUUCUGAUGAGAAGUCAGGCUUACAGCUGUGAGAUUGGAGCAAGACGCAGAGGGAAAGAAAGGCGUUCCCUAGGGAUGGGGGAGUCGGGAUAAGAAUCUGGACAAAGACCUGCUGGAUGUUUUAUCAGAACUGUGGUGUUGAGUUGCAGUACAAGUGCUAUCCAAAUGCCCCGUGCUGCUACUUCAUCAUUUCCAUGCUUCCAGGAAGCAGGGCUUACCAUGUGCACAAUGUCCAGCCAAAGGGAUACGAACAGAGAGGAAAUUGCACUGCAGCCUGCAUCAUCUGUCUGAUCCUCCGGGAUAUUAGUAGAGACAUGUGAGUCUUCACUGUCUAAGCAGUAAUGUCUUGAUUGCGUCUCAGCAGGAAGUUUAGCUCUACAAUGAGGACAGAGGGACAGCUUCCUGUUCUCACCGAGCUCCCUGGACACUCCUAAUAAAUCUCACUGCUCUCCAGCUGCUGCAAAUGGUUCUCAUGUGCUGACAGGUUAUACAGUUCAAGACAGGACAUGGGCAGGCGUUUGAGUCUGGACAGUGGGGCGGUGACGUGAUGUGGGUGUUAAGGGACAGGGUCAGGAGCCUCCCUGGCCACCCUUCCCACCCCUCUCCCUUCUGCCCUGCUGAAGUGAGGUGUCUUCAUCUUAGGCAAGUCAUGCCAACUGUGAAAACCGGAACUUCUUCAGAGGAAGAAUCAAUAGACCCAGAACUGCUUAUCUUGCAGAUGGUGAGGAAGAAUAACGUAUCCCAAAGGAAGUUCCUCACAUAGCGGCAGGCACACAAAACACUCCCGACGUCAACAACAGUGAUGCUGUGCUUACUCCAGGCCACGAGAAGUCUCCGGCGUCUUAGGUAUGGUAACUAUUUGAAUACUCACAGUCUCAUAAAUCCAGUCUGUAUGACUAAUGUCAUCUUACAGGGGAUGAACCUAAGGCUCUAAGCGCCCCCGGAAGCUUGCCUGUGCUCACAGAGCUGAGCAUCUAACAAAGGCAGGUUGGCCUCAGAAACCGAGGAAAUACUUGAAAGUUAAGGUAUUGGUGGAUGAGUGGACAAAGAUCCUGGACACCUUCGAGCCUUCGCAGGGACAGAAAGUUACCUAGGCCACCGGAAGGUUGGAAAUGCUCAUCCCAGCACCACAAUGUCCAGAAAACAGAGCUAAACAUUGAAUGCUACUACACAGUCACACACGUGUCACGGGACCAGAGCCUCUCAGUGCCCAGCACUAUUGGACUCUCCUACCACUCUGGCGAUUCAUCAUUCCACAAGAGGUGUAUCUGGACGUAAGGAAGGAGCUAAGAACAUAAAUGCACAUUUGACGUGUCCGUGGCCCUGUGUAGAAAAUUCUUUCAAAGAGAGGUGGCCUUGUUUUGUUUCCAGGGCAUUCCUAUUUGUGUGUGUCUGGGGAAGUCAUUGGACCUGCCUCUCCCUAAUUUUUCCUGAAUUCAGAUAUACAGAAGUCUGGGACAGGGGUGACAACUGUGUGGAUCAGGACCUAUGCCCGGGCCAGGUGGCCACUUCUGCUUCCCAAGCCCUCCUAACACACUCCACGUCCCAGCUAAUACUAAUACUGGCUAACGCUGCUCCUACACCUGAACUCUGCACCCCUCACUCCAGGAUACAGAGAAGCUUCCCACCCGUCAGGACCAGGAGUCCUCGAAGCGCAAGGAUCUCAUUGGCAGUUGGUAAAAGUCUGGCUCCUGCGCCAGGCAGGCCAGGAUCUCGGCCUUCUCUAUGUUUGCUGAUUACACCCCUAGCUUCCCUGUCCCCCCCCCCCCGUUUCCAGCCUACCAACCAGGACUCGCAACCGUCCCCUUGUGCCAAGGUCCAAUGAGUAAAGCUGGGAAUUCACAUUCUGGAGGAAAUGCUCAGUUUGAGGUGCAGGCUGGUCACAGCAGUGACAUGUCUCAGAUGCCUUCUGCACCGUGCUUGUCUUCAGGCCACAAAGCACCCCUGUGACAGACUUCCUUAGACAGCAUCUACACAGACAAGGUUACUGUAUACACAGGAAGACAGCAGCGCAGUGCUACAUUGCAAAGCAGGCUACACUGUAGAGCAAGCGGCAACGAUUGCCUCCCCUGGCGGUCUUAUUCCACAAGCUGUUUUGAUUUAUGGUGCUUGGGUUGCAUCUUAUCUCCCUUCCUCAGGAGAUACUCAUCAGUUGGCCAGGACUGUGUCAAGUUCACCUCUCAUUCCCAUUGUGCCGGAGCACAUACAUAUUCAAAGUCAGAGUACAAAGUCAAGAUGGGACCCGUGGACAGAAAAGGACUUUGGGAAAAACUAAGGCAAUCUGAGUAAAGUAUGGAUUUUAUCACCCCGUGGCGUAUCAACGCUGAUUCGCUGAUUGUUGACACAUAGAGCAUGCUAAUGUAAGAGCUGCCUUCUUACCAUCUUUGGAAGUGAACUGUGGAGGAGAGGUAAACGAGGGGUGAAGUUGGGAUUGGUCAAAUGGAUGAAGGUGAGUUGAAGCUUGAAGCAGCCAGAUGGCCAGCACGUAAAACCUGGAUUCAUGGUCACACCUUCUCUUUCCCUCUAGGGACCCAAGAGAGGACUGCAAAUCACAGCAGAGUCUGUUUUCCAGGACAGGGACGAGCACUCAUGGCUGUGUGACCACUUCCACCUCAGAGAACGCAGGAAGCAGAGCCAGCCAAUCAGAUGUGCACUACCUGUCCAUUAUAUGUAUGAGGGCCGAUGCAUUAUUCAUUGAUGACAUCUGUUUAGGCAAUUAAUGUGUUCCUAUCAUGUUCAAUGCUUUACAAGGGCCUGUUAAACCCAUAUAACACAAACCCUAUGGGCAUGGGGAAAGUGACAUCACUAGCUCAGACUAUGCAACCGAACAACACUAACAAAAAAACCUGCACCCAUACGUCUCUCUCUUUGCUGAACAUUUUAUUAAGCGUGCUACACUUCAGCUUUAGUUCUCAGGGGAGAGCGUGCAAAUGAAGAUGGCUAUGAUUUCCACUUUACUCCAGAGAGACUGAGGAUGGGAGACGUUAAAUAUCUUCUCAGAGUCACAUGGCUAGGGCAAAGCAGAUUCAGGAAAGCCCAGGAGUCUAGCUUGAGCCCGGUCUAUAAGCAACUGUCUUAUCAACUGUCUUCUCUCUCUCUCUCUCUCUCUCUCUCUCUCUGUGUGUGUGUGUGUGUGUGUGUGUGUGUGUGUGUGUGUAUCAUGUGUAUGUGUAUGUGUGUGCACUUGCAUUCGUUGUGAGUAUAACACACAUGUGCAGGUCAGAAGACAACCUCGGGUGUUAGUCCUCACUUCCCUCCUUUUGAGACAACGCCUGUUCAUUGCUUUCCCACUGAGGACGGCAGGGUAGCUGGACUGUGAGCUUCCAGGGAUUCUUCCUCAGGCUCAGACCGUUGCACACUUUCCCCAGCCAGGAGCACUGUUUGGAGAGGUGAGGGGAAGGGUCAGUCUUACAGGUGGGCCUCAAUUCCAGUUCCAGGGAUCCCAAAGAAUAAUAUGCAUAUUCUUUGACAAUCCAUACAUGUACAUUAUGCAAUGUAUCUUCAUAUCUACCCCCAAUAAUCCCACUCCAUUCUGAACUCCCAAUGUCUCCCUCCCAUUUCAUGUUUUUGUCUUCUCUUUAAUAACACACUGAGUCCAGUUAAUUCUUCUCACGCAUCUGACUUUCUACAUGAGUUCACGGAUUUGAACUCAGGUCCUCACACCUUCACAGCAAAUGCAUUUACCAAAUAAGCCAGCAGUCCAGCCCCCUUAGCUGUCUUCGGAUUGUUCUCACAGGCGCUUACCACAGAAUGAGACAAAUCUUCAGUUGAACUCAAGUUGUUCUCAAGCGCUCUGUGCCUCCAUUAUGACUCCGUACCCCCCUGGGACGGUCUUAUGGAGAAGGCAGUACUGACUCAGCAUUGUGCAUCUCCUGCUGUCCCUGUGGGUGGAGGGUUAGGGCGGGCUUUCGAUCCCCAUUCAGCCAGUGAGGGAUCUGAGCUGAGCAGGAGUGAAGAAGCUUGUCACUGCAAGAAUUUAGCUAAGGCUAGAACUCACAUCAUCAACUGCAAGCACCAAGCAGAGAGGGAACCGGGAGUAGGGCAAAGCUUCAAAAAAAAUAUCUCAAAGCUGGGCUGGAGAGAUGGCUCAGUAGUUAAGAGCACUGACUGCUCUUCCGAAGGUCCUGAGUUCAAAUCCCAGCAACCACAUGGUGGCUCACUGUAACCACCAUCUGUAAUGAAACCUGACGGCCUCUUCUGGUGUGUCUGAAGUCAGCUACACUGUACUUAUAAUAAAUAAAUAAAUUAAAAACAAAAACAAAAACAAAAAACCCCCAAAGCCCAGCCCCAGUGCUGUACUUGUUGAAACAAGGCUGAACCUUUCCAUAGCCUCUCCAGACAGUGCUCCCAACUGUGAGGGACCUUUCUCAUUUAAAUCACCACAGUCUCCAAGGUGAAUUUUUGAGGAGGUACAUCAAUUCUCAGCAGCAACUGACUUACAUGACCACAGGCUUGUCUAUGCCUACUCUGUAUUCCUGACUGCACACUGAAGCUCACUUAUAAGAAGACCUAUCCCCAUAGCAUUAGGUGAAGAUUAAAUGAGAGAAUCUGAGUUUCUUUGUAAGUUCUAAGAAAACAGAAAGAGAUCAUUAUUUUUCAUCCACUAAUCAUCUUUAUCCCUAGCUGGCUGUUCUUUUUAAAGUAGGUACCAGAUUUUUCCAUUAAAUUAUCUUAUUGGAAGAGAGAAAAGGGAUUAGACGACAAUGGGUACAUGUCUGCACUUGCAUGCAUGCACACAUACAGAGACACAUAUAGACACAGAUACUCAGGAGCAGGCGAGCGCGCAUGCGCGCGCGCACACACACACACACACACACACACACACACACACACACACACACACGCACGCACACACACGCACACACACACACACAAUCUGUUGACAUUGGAAAGUAGGCUUGGAGCAAUGGUCCUGAAGUCAACACCAGCCUUGAAAGAGAAGUGUUAAGUUUUUAACCUUUGCCCCACAUUACAGAAGGGCAUUGGCCUGGACUCGUAGGUAACACAAAUAUUUUGCACUCCAAUGUAUUUCUUUGUUCAAUAUAUUUUCCCUGUUCCCUCCGAAUCCUCUUCCCACACACCAAUCAUACUUACUUUUGCGUAUUGAACCCUUAAACUUAGAAUGUGAUUUUUAAAACAAAACAAAACAUCUCCUAGGCACAUUUUAAAACCUUCUGGGCCCCACAUCGAGAGAUUCUGGGCUGAUUUUGACCUCACAAAUCUGUACCACAAGGAAACUUUCGGAGAGACUCACUCCUGUGUUCUUUGUGAUCCCUUCUGGCCUUAAAGAGCAACUCAUUUCUUGCAAACUGCUUCAGCUUAGUUAAGGCUGUGUACUGUGAGUACCCAACACUCAGCAACUAUAGCGACUAUAGCGCUACUAAGCAAGACCUCUGAGGUGGACGGAAACUCACCUUCUACCCACUGCGGUGGCUCCCAGCAUUGCUUCAGAAUUUCAGCCCUCUGUGUAGCUUGGAACUCUUCAUAAGAAUCAAACUCUAGAAGCAUUAUCUUUCCCAGAUCUCUUUUCUAGACCUACCAGAGAGAUUAAAUGGCUCUUCCCAAUUACAGACCACACCAACACUCAUCUUACAUCUAUUUAUGGACUUUAUUGUUAGCCUUUCCUCAUGAGAGGUCAGUUUUCUCCUUUUCCCAGACUAUAGGCUGUGUCACCUCUGUCAGAGAGCUUUCACUAUCUGUUCUGGAUCAUGGGUUAUCACAAAAUCAGCAGAGGAUAGGAUAAGGGAGGUGGGAGGCUGUAUGAGAUGGCAGGGGGAAGGGGAGCGCUCAGAGGUCUGAGUACAAAGGCCUUAUCCUAGGAUGGGGCCAUGGAUAGCUGUGAAGCUGAUUUUCAGUGAGUAGGAAUUUUGACUUUGAUCUAGAGUACUUGGAGAAA